RNAcentral lists this non-coding RNA (24 nucleotides) under Arabidopsis thaliana (thale cress). The record is from RNAcentral. Lineage: Eukaryota; Viridiplantae; Streptophyta; Magnoliopsida; Brassicales; Brassicaceae.
AAAGCCUAAGUAGUGUUUCCUUGU